Molecule: long non-coding RNA, 183 nt
Organism: Hibiscus syriacus
Lineage: Eukaryota; Viridiplantae; Streptophyta; Magnoliopsida; Malvales; Malvaceae
Exons: 3
Source: RefSeq, a predicted model, not a curated record
AGUGUCCAGAGGAAUGGAUAUUUCAGUUUGCAUCAGGAUUCAAGAGUAUUGUGCUGGUACCUGUGCUUCCACAUGGAGUUCUUCAACUUGGUUCACCGGAGAUGGUAUGUCAAUGAAGAUUUGUCCAUUCUUGCAUAUAUCAAAGAUAGAUUUGCCUACAUUCAUGCACACUUUCCUCCACCG